GAUGAACGCUGGCGGCGUGCCUAAUACAUGCAAGUCGAGCGAACAGACGAGGAGCUUGCUCCUCUGACGUUAGCGGCGGACGGGUGAGUAACACGUGGAUAACCUACCUAUAAGACUGGGAUAACUUCGGGAAACCGUAGCUAAUACCGGAUAAUAUAUUGAACCGCAUGGUUCAAUAGUGAAAGACGGUUUUGCUGUCACUUAUAGAUGGAUCCGCGCCGCAUUAGCUAGUUGGUAAGGUAACGGCUUACCAAGGCAACGAUGCGUAGCCGACCUGAGAGGGUGAUCGGCCACACUGGAACUGAGACACGGUCCAGACUCCUACGGGAGGCAGCAGUAGGGAAUCUUCCGCAAUGGGCGAAAGCCUGACGGAGCAACGCCGCGUGAGUGAUGAAGGUCUUCGGAUCGUAAAGCUCUGUUAUUAGGAAAGAACAAAUGUGUAAGUACCUAUGCACGUCUUGACGGUACCUAAUCAAAAAGCCACGGCUAACUACGUG
RNAcentral lists this ribosomal RNA (497 nucleotides) under uncultured bacterium. RNAcentral describes it as "partial 16S ribosomal RNA". It matches the Rfam family "Bacterial small subunit ribosomal RNA", at positions 28 to 507 of the family's 1533-position model. The record is from RNAcentral.